Molecule: ribosomal RNA, 274 nt
Filed under: uncultured Staphylococcus sp.
Lineage: Bacteria; Bacillati; Bacillota; Bacilli; Caryophanales; Staphylococcaceae
Description: partial 16S ribosomal RNA
Rfam family: Bacterial small subunit ribosomal RNA
Source: RNAcentral
ACGUUAGCGGCGGACGGGUGAGUAACACGUGGGUAACCUACCUAUAAGACUGGGAUAACUUCGGGAAACCGGAGCUAAUACCGGAUAAUAUUUCGAACCGCAUGGUUCGAUAGUGAAAGAUGGUUUUGCUAUCACUUAUAGAUGGACCCGCGCCGUAUUAGCUAGUUGGUAAGGUAACGGCUUACCAAGGCGACGAUACGUAGCCGACCUGAGAGGGUGAUCGGCCACACUGUAACUGAGACACGGUCCAGACUCCGUACGGGAGGCAGCAGGC